This 387-nucleotide ribosomal RNA is filed under the name Telonemia sp. Its description in RNAcentral is "partial small subunit ribosomal RNA". It matches the Rfam family "Eukaryotic small subunit ribosomal RNA", at positions 582 to 975 of the family's 1831-position model. The record is from RNAcentral. Lineage: Eukaryota; Telonemia.
AUUCCAGCUCCAAUAGCGUAUAUUAAAAUUGUUGCAGUUAAAAAGCUCGUAGUUGGAGUUCAGAGUGAGCUCAGCCGGUCCGUCUCAUGGGUGAGUACUGGUCGACUCUCUCUUGUUUGUGAAUCCCGCCCGGAGUUAAUUCUUCGGGAUGUGGAGUUCACAUCGUUUACCUUGAAAAAAUUAGAGUGUUCAAAGCAGGCGUUUGCUUGAAUAUAUUAGCAUGGAAUAAUGGAAUAGGACCCUGGUUCUAUUUUGUUGGUUUUGAGAACCAGAGUAAUGAUUAAUAGGGAUAGUUGGGGGCAUUCAUAUUUCAUUGUCAGAGGUGAAAUUCUUGGAUUUAUGAAAGAUGAACUUCUGCGAAAGCAUUUGCCAAGGAUGUUUUCAUCA